CAUGAACAGGAAACUCAUUCUCGUAGUAGGAAAGCGCGUGGGCAAGGCGGUGUAACCGCCGGGCGAAAUCCUCCCAUGCGCUGCACAGGCUCCCUUCCGGGGGCCUUUUUUAUUUCCGGAA
RNAcentral lists this small RNA (121 nucleotides) under Manganibacter manganicus. RNAcentral's name for it is "Pseudaminobacter manganicus Rhizobiales sRNA Atu_C8". It matches the Rfam family "Rhizobiales sRNA Atu_C8". Lineage: Bacteria; Pseudomonadati; Pseudomonadota; Alphaproteobacteria; Hyphomicrobiales; Phyllobacteriaceae. The record is from Rfam by way of RNAcentral.